UACGGAGGAUGCGAGCGUUAUCCGGAUUUAUUGGGUUUAAAGGGUGCGUAGGCGGGCUUUUAAGUCAGCGGUAAAAAUUCGGGGCUCAACCACGUCCGGCCGUUGAAACUGGGGGUCUUGAGUGGGCGAGAAGAAGGCGGAAUGCGUGGUGUAGCGGUGAAAUGCAUAGAUAUCACGCAGAACCCCGAUUGCGAAGGCAGCCUUCCGGCGCCCUACUGACGCUGAGGCACGAAAGUGCGGGGAUCGAACAGG
Molecule: ribosomal RNA, 252 nt
Filed under: uncultured bacterium
Lineage: Bacteria
Description: partial 16S ribosomal RNA
Rfam family: Bacterial small subunit ribosomal RNA
Source: RNAcentral